This is a non-coding RNA of Kogia breviceps (pygmy sperm whale), 241 nucleotides long. The record is from RefSeq and is a predicted model, not a curated record. Lineage: Eukaryota; Metazoa; Chordata; Mammalia; Artiodactyla; Physeteridae.
GCCACGUGACACAAGAAAAAUUGAUCUCUUCAGACCUCUUUUCGUUUCGGAGCAGUCAUUGGUGAUAUGUGAAUGUGUCUUGCACGUUCAACCUGUGACAGAGGACUUGACCCAUGGAGGGCAUGCAAAUAUUGCAAGAGGACCUGUCAGAGUUAUGGAAAUGAAAGGGAAUACUACAGGGCAAUGACAGGAAGAAACUACAACUACGUGCGACUGUAUGUGUGAAUCUCACGUGUUGGAC